This 395-nucleotide ribosomal RNA is filed under the name uncultured bacterium. RNAcentral's name for it is "partial 16S ribosomal RNA". It matches the Rfam family "Bacterial small subunit ribosomal RNA", at positions 361 to 774 of the family's 1533-position model. The record is from RNAcentral.
AUAUUGCACAAUGGGGGAAACCCUGAUGCAGCGACGUCGCGUGAACGAUGAAGGCUUUCGAGUCGUAAAGUUCUGUCCUAUGGGACGACAAUGACGGUACCAUAGGAGGAAGCCCCGGCUAACUACGUGCCAGCAGCCGCGGUAAUACGUAGGGGGCGAACGUUGUCCGGAAUUAUUGGGCGUAAAGGGUACGCAGGCGGCCGUGUAAGUCAGAUGUGAAAGGUCAGGGCUUAACCCUGGUUAGCAUUUGAAACUGUGUGGCUUGAGUUAAGGAGAGGAAAGUGGAAUCCCUAGUGUAGCGGUGAAAUGCGUAGAUAUUAGGGGGAAUACCAGUGGCGAAGGCGACUUUCUGGACUUAUACUGACGCUGAGGUACGAAAGCGUGGGGAGCAAACA